GUAAGUGGACGCAGCUGAGCGGGGCAGCGCGAAGCGCGAGGCGCGUGUGCGCGUGCGCCGGGCCAGCCUCUCCACGCGAGCCGGGACCGGCCGCUUCCCCUGGCCCCGGCUGCGGUUCCUGGCGUCCGGAGCCGCCCCCUGGCGGUCGCCAGCGGUACAGCAGGAACCCGGGCCCUGGCCGCUCCCUGGCUGAACUCAGGUUCUCGGUGUUUAGUUUCGCUUUUUUUUUAAUGGUAUUUUAAAUGAUAUUUUUUAAAGUAUCUGCUGCGCCUGCGGCCCUUGCUGGACACUGGAAAUCUGCUGGUCAGUGCCAAGUCCCUCCAGGAAGCAGUUUCCUUUCUUGUGGGGGUGAACGGGUGGCCAGUGAGAGGCGAAAGCUUGUGCGCACGGCUUAAGUAUCACAUGGCUUCUCUCACGGGAGGCCAGAGUAAGGAAGGAGCAACCGGAAGCCCCCAUCUGAGGCAGACUCAUGGUGUAUCAUCAUCCGUGAAUUUACACCCAAGGAAACUGAGGCACAGAGAAGUUGAAGAGCUGUCCCAAGUCGGUAGAAGGACCAGGACUCGCACCAUGGCUGGCUGUGGACUUGCAGCCACCCUGCUGUGCUCUGAGCCUGAGGCCCUGGAAGGUCAAGGCCAAGCUUAUUUCUCUGUAAGGGACCCAACUGCUGCACAGCAGGAAAGAGGCAGGGCCUCCACUGAAAACCAGGGCUUUUCUGACUAAAAUCCACCUCUUCCGUACCCUGCUGUAGCAGUGCCCAUGUGCUGUUUAUAGCAGCGAACUCCUAGAAGCAUAAAUGGAGAUGUCCAAUGUUAUGUGGUGUAGCUAUACAAAAUAACAGGCCUUAAAAUUAUAUGGAAAAAUAUUUAUUUAUGGCCAAAGGUGUUCGAGAUAUACUGAUGUAGAAGGCAGUUAUGAAGCAGUAUGCAAUUUCAAUUUACAUGGAAAAGGUAGUAAGAGAGAAGAGUGAAAUACAAUUUCUAGCCCAUUAUAUCGCCGUAAAUGUAAAUGGCCUGACAAUACCAACGCUGAUGGAAAUAUGUGGAAAUGAGAAACUUUAUCUACUGCUGCAGGGAGUGCAUAUUGGCAACAACCCUCUGGAAAUCAACUUGGCAAUCUUGAAAUGGGGGUAACCUUCAACCCAGCAAUUUCACUUCUAAAAACACAUCUUGGGAGAAAUUUACAAAGUGUGCGAGGAGAGAUUACGGCUGUAGCUCAGUGGUAGAGUAGGCACCUUGUAUGCAUGAGGCUGUGAGUUCAAUCCCCAGCACCACACACACACACACACACACACACACACAAGGAAAUUUGGGUGGGGGAUUUUCCUUGCACCAUGCAAAACACUGGUCUCAAAAUAAUAAAAUAUUGGAAAC
This 1370-nucleotide long non-coding RNA is filed under the name Heterocephalus glaber (naked mole-rat). RNAcentral's name for it is "lncRNA (ENSHGLG00100038722.1)". Lineage: Eukaryota; Metazoa; Chordata; Mammalia; Rodentia; Bathyergidae. The record is from RNAcentral.